UGGCAUUUGGGACUGCAGGAAAAUCCUUACACAACAAACUGCACUGUCCAGAAAAUACUGAUAUUUCGAAACAUUUAACAGAGUCUUUGUGCAUUGACCAAAACAUCUCUGUCUGCUAAGACGAAAACCCUCUUUCACUAACACUGGUGGGUGCUAAAGUGAAAAUCAUGUCGGAGUAUCAGGGGUGCGAUCAGUCUGGGCCCCAUCCCCCAAAUACAGCCAUUAUGGAGGAUGGGGUCUGGUUUUUUGUUGCCUUUCGCUAGAUCACUUGAGAAUGAAAAUGGUUGAAAACUGUGACACAUGUGUCACAUCUGUUAUAAAUUGACCCUGCGAUACAUCAGUAAGGAUUUUUCCUUUCGUGGAUGGAAGUUUGUGCAGUCAGGAAGAGAGUACACCAUCAAUAACUGAGAGACCAUGACCCAACCAAUACAAUGGAGGUAUGUGACCACAGCAGUAAUAUAGGGCAGAGUUUUUCUUCAACCAGUUUGUGUACCGCAAUAUGAUCUCUAUUAAAAGGUGAGGAAUCAUCAUUGCGGUUCCUGACCCUCUAGUUUCCGUUAACUGAGUUAUGAGCUGAAUGUAGAAACUGUGCAGCAGAAAAAAAGGCGAUCUUUUUUCUGGACAUAAGUGACUGACUAGGAAGUGAGAUUAUUUAUCUCUAAACUACCACUCACACAGCAAACCUGCGGUGAACCACAGACAACAUGUGAAAUGAGGAUCUUCAGAUUUAUUAUUGCGGCACAAAUGUCAGAUAGAUUUUGAGGACGGUUUUCUACUGCUGCAGGGGAGUCAGAAGCAUCAUAUGAAUUUGGAGUCAGAGGAGUCAGAGAUUUCAGCAGGUCCAAAAGGUUUGUCCAUGGAUGGAGAAGCUGUUUAUAUGUGUGAGAUGCUGUACGAUGUGCACAACUAUUGAAGAUCAAUAUUCCGGCUGAUAAAAACUGGAGGGGAAGUGUUUUUUUUUUUUUUCCAGGACAGCUGCUUUACUUACAUCAGUAACUGCAGCAGAGGCAGCCGUCAGUAUUAGUGUUACAGUUGUAUAACUAUUGCCAGGCUUGUUCUCCGUGUAGUGCCAGUGUACAUACACACUUGACUGUACCUUGGGAAGGCACCUGCCCCAGUCAAGGGCCUUUUUCAGCAGCCAGUGCUGCUACUGUACUCCCCACUCCUCUGUUGUCACCCACCUGCAAUACUGAACACAUGGGACCACAAGAGCCCUCACUGAGCACAAGGGCCCCCUUUCAUUUUCAGAGACGCUAUCAUUGUUCUUUUCCUGUUUGAUGUUUUCAGCUCUGAAAUUCACUGAGACACACAGAGACAUUAUGCCUGUUUGGCUCUGCAGUCACCUCAGGUUACACGUUACUAUGCUGUGCCACAGGAGUGUGAAGUUCUGAUGUUGACAGGAUAACGUUUGAUUUGCACUAAUAUGAUGUACUUGUUUUAUGAGCUACAAACAAACAGAAGUGCUGUUGUGGUUGACAUUGAUCGUGCAUAUGGAGCUUUGUUGUAGUUGUUCACAAUCUGUCAUCAGGAGGGAUUUCUCAUCAAUGCACUCUGACAUGUGAUUGGACACCCUGACAUGGUGUUUUAUUUUUUCGAUUGACUCGGUGGAAUCUGCUGUUCCUGUUUUCUAAAUCCUGCUCAGAUCUUCGCGGUUAAGUUCAGUACAUGCUGCUCUGUUGAAAAUAGAUACUUCCCGUGUUUUCAGCAGAGAAGGGAGAAGCUUCUGGGAUGGAGCGCAUGGCAUGUGUGGGGUGGCAUCGGACUCCCUGUGGAAAAGCAAGUGUCAUGAUCUGUGUAGGGGGCCAGGACACAACAGGAACAUACUGAGCUGCAAACUAGAAGGAACCAAAAUACAAAGACUAACCUUUCUAACAUAAGAGAACAAUACUGAGAGAUAAACCGCCAAUUCACACCAAGUCUAACAAACACUGUAAACAUAAGGCUUCAUGGUCAAUUUAGAGAGGAGGGGAUGGCAUCUCCCAGCUGAUAUAAGGAAAUAUCCCUGGGAGACUGAUCAGCUGUCGAGAUUGAGCAUACCUAUUUGGGAAGAGAGCGCCACAAACAAAAAAUGACACCCAGCACAUCCACAAACACACAAAAAUCUCCUGUUACAAUCACAGUUGUAACAUGAGCAGUGACUAGGAUGGAGGAGGAAGAGAUCUUGAGUGAGAGGAGUUUACAGUGACAGGCUUUCUGUGGGAUUUUGUGGUUAAACAGAAAUAAAGCACAUGGUAGGGCUGGGCGAUAUAUCAAAUUAAUAUCACCAUAUAUUGAGCAGUACACCUUGAUAACAAUAAAUGGAUGAUACUCCACGAGCUGCUCACCCCCUCCCACAUUAACUUUGUCUACUUCAGCCACCGCUCCAGCUGCUACAACUUUUGAACCGUCCUCCAUCUCCUCACCUGUCUUCCCCUCUUUGUUACGGACUGAAUGGGAUGGAGUCACAUCUCUGACAUAGGACAGUGUCUUAAAGGGACAUGAGACCAUUGCCUACCUACACACAUCCAAAACCAACUUUUUUAUAUUUGUUUUUUGGACACCAAAUAUAUUGACAUGAGCAAAAUGACGUUGGUUAUUGUCAGAAAUUUCGGUAUCUGUAAAUUUUCGGUUUAUCGCCCAGCCCUAGAACAUGGAGCUCUAGAGUGGCUACAGGGUGUCCUGUGCUUAUUUCUGUAUCUAACACGGAGAGAUUAAAACACUGGGGUGUUCAGAUCAUGCUGUUUGUCAAUGAGGUCACAGUCUGCUCCUGUUUGUCAGAGUUAACUUAUAAGGGACUUUGCGUUUUCACAGACCCACACACAAGGAAACUGCGAGCUAAAGCAGGUCCUAAUGUUUUUUUACUCUAACCAGGUCUUUUGAAAACAGCCCUUUGGAGAAAAACACGUCUUGUGAAAACUCUCAUCUGUUAGAUGUUUAACAUGGCUGUGAUUUUUGCACCUGCAGUCUGUUAAACAUGACUCAAGAGUUUGAAGAGUGAGGACCAACAGAGGAGAGAGAGAGUUGGCGAGCAGGGACAUAAAGACAAGAGGAACGCCAGAGUCAGUCAGAGUGGGUCAUGAAUCUUAGGUUUCCUGUAAAUCUGUCUCUUCCUCUUCAUUACUCACAUGACCUGACCCCACUGGCUGCUUCAACCAGACUCUGCACUUGCCAACUGGAUGGAUAGGCAACUAAUUGACUGAGUAACUGAUGGAUGGAUGACCGAUCCAGCAUCUGUAAGACUUUUUUCUGGGUGGGUGGACAAUGUUGAUGGAUGAUAGAUUGAUGAGUGUUUAGGAAUGCAUGGAUUAACGGAUGAUGAAAGUGCUAACAUGGACAACUGCAUUGAUAAAUGGACCGGUAGUCUGUGAUUGCUCAUGGAUGUGAGCAUUUACUUAGUGUAAAGUAAGAAAGUUGAAAUCAGAACUGCGUUAUUGUCAGGUUUGUUGCCGUAAAGACUCUAUAGAAGUCAGUGAAUGAAAACAGGAUCAGCUGGAAAUAAGGAAAGACAUUAAGAGUAACACCAUGUCUGAGCAGCAUCAAAGCAGCAGCUGUGAGUUGUCCAUCACUGUCUGUGGAAAAUUCACACCGCUGUGCAUUUAAAAGAGUUCACAGCGUCUCUCACAACACGCAGGGUGAAAAUCAGAAAGAAAAGGCUGCAGGUACAAACAGACCUCUGCCGCUGCAGGCUUCUGCACAGAAGAAGUGACUGACGCUGUCACUGCUAACAGCUGCUAUGUCUCAUACCUGCACCACGCACUGCUGGAUUUCCACUCAAGCACACGCACCAACUUAAUUUUUAUAGAAAUAUCCUCAAAAUGAGAAAGUUUCUUUUAUUCAUUUAUAUCUGAGAAAGAUGAUUAGUUUACCAAACUACCAGGAGCAAACUACCCUGGUCUGAAUUAAUAACUGUCAAGUUUAAUUCCAGAUUUACACCAAAGCUUCAUUAUGAUCCUGCUUUGUGCUUAAUCAUCUGAUCCCAUGGAGAAAUAGCAUCUUUGUUGAGUUUAUAUCCUGCUCAGAUGUCAGAUAUGGCUGAGAGGUAGAGCAGGAUGACUGCUGAUCAGAGCCUCAUCACACGAAUUACCUCAAAGUAACUGACACUCAACAUGUGGGACUUAGGUGGAUUUCUGGAUCUUAUAAUUCCUUUGACUUUUUAAUUUCAUACGGCUACUGAUCUUGUCUUUGGGCUGCCUUAACAGCUUUGUUCAGGUGCUCAUGGGAAAUAAACCAUGUUUAAGAUUAGGCAAAGAAAAAUCAGAUUCAAGUGAAAAACCUCUUUGACACAGACAUCACUAUAUAGUUCACAUCCUCAAAACAGAUUUCAGUGAUUAGAAACAAAUCACAAAUGUGUUUACAUCGGCUGAAUAACACAGACAUCAGCAAUUAUAGCAGGAUUGUCCAGCAUGAAAACAUGAUUAAAUAAAUAAAAUAAAUAAUGUCACUGUUAAGGGGUGGAUGACAUCCAUCACAUCCACAAAAAACUGGAGCUGUUUGAGCGGACCAACAAAUACACAUCUGUAAAACAUACACUUAAGAGCAUUUUCAUUCAACAUGCUGAUUCAGCCGUUCAAAAAUCCACCGGGUUCUACAACUUCACAGGUUUGCCCCUAAGUGGAUGGAGGCAUGUGGACAGACAAAGAAAUUUGCUUUGGGGAAAUCCAGGUUCCAGGUCUUUCAAAAAGAAAAAAAAAAAAACAUAUUUGUGAGAGUGUCUGACCAACACAACAUAUGCAUAUGCUCGUUGGUAGUUAAGGGUUAAUACUAAUGCGGGGAACUGACAACUCUUGGCUGAGAACCAAGUCUGAGUUUUUUGUCCGAUGCUGGAAAAUAAAACAUUUAUUUCGGUUGAGAAAGUUUUCAUUGAUUAAGAGGGAUGAAUUUGUUGUGACAUUUUGGUUCUACACACCCUCAGAAACCCUGCUGUGUAUCUCUAUCACUGCUGCUUGUUGUAAAGUAUAUUCUUGGAGCAAAUUAGACUUCAGGUACAUGUCUUUGCAGUGAGAAGCUCACUUCAAGUGUGUGUGACAGCUGGACAGAAACCUGCUUCCCUGCUUCAGUCUGUGCUUCUCGCUGGAGGGGAGGGGAGUCUCGUGGUCCGCCGUCAAGGGGCUGAAAGGUCCUAUCAGGGGAGGGGAAGCCCAUCACUGCCUUUAGAGGAGAUACAGAAAGCUAGGACAAGCCAUUACAGUAUUAACACAUCAGCCUUUUAUUAGAAAAAGACAUGGUUCUGUACUCAGUGUGGGGGCUCAGGGACUGCUGGACUCUGUGUGCCCCCAUAAUGUGCAUGUUACAUUUAUAAAGCAGAUCACAGUGAUCCAAGUUCAAAACAAGCUUAUAUGGACAGAACUAUCUCAGUGAUGUGUUUCAUUCAUGUGACAUUUUACUGGGAGAAGAAAAAAACAACUGCAGUUUAACCUGUCUUAUAGGAAACCUCCUUUGACAUUAAAGGAGGGGACACCCCUGUAAGACCACAACUACAGACCCCCUGUUACUGAAACAGCAACCAGGACUGAUGGGUCCUCUGGUGGAUGUGAUUUUGAUAUACAGAGACAGAAUGAGGUAAAACUCAUUUGAGGAGUGAAGAAAAUGAUAUUGAAUAUGUGCUUUUGGUAAUAGAGGCCAGUGUAUGCCAUGGUAACAUCAUCAGCACAACCUAACAUUGAUAUGUGUCCAUUAAAAUUGUCCCAGUGAAUUGAACAGCCACAGUUUCGGUGUUUUAGAUCUUAGCCCACCAGAUGAUCCCCCCAAAGUGGGCUGUGACAUUGGACUGAAAAUGUAAUGUGCCCUUCAGCAGGUGUUAGCAUGCUGAUGGGUUUAACACUGGAAAACUCAGCAGAUGAACGGUCUCUCAUGUUGUCACUGAAAUGACAAUGUCCCUGUGCCUCAAAAAGCCAGUACAGGUGUGCAGUAGCAUUAAUGUAAGAAUGAGCAAAGGCAACUCAAAACUUUUUUACAAAUACAUUGUCAAUCAAUCAAUCAACCAAUUUUGCAACAUCAUCUAAUAGGGCUGCACGAUUUCGGCCAAAAAUGAAAUCCCAACUUUUUUCUCAGAAAACUUGAUUUUCGAUUUCUUUUUUUUUUUUUAGUGACAACUUCACCAAACUUCCUUUACUAAGCUUUUCUAUCAUCUCUCAAAACAAAACCAGCGAAAAAAAAUGAAGUGCAUUUGCCAAGCCAGUAAGUGGCGCUGUAACGCUGACGAGGAACUAAACAAAAGACAAAAAAGGAGUACAGAGCAUGUGUAUAAAGGUGGUUUUGGCCGGACACAUGCAGCCACCAUAAAAGAGUAACGCUGUGUGUCACACAAUCGUUUUAAGAGCUGCAGAUAGGCAUCCACACGGAGAUGAAAUGUUAGUUGUUUAUAGAUUUAUGCACUCUCUGACUCGUUUUCAAAAAGUCCCACUUACAGUCACCCAAAAUGCUGUUUCCAUGUAGAUGAAAGACCAAUACCACAAAAAACUUGCACAUCUACUUCUGACGGGUUGAUACCGCCUUCAAACAGACUUUGCAGUGGGGAGUGGUUUGCACUUUGUCUGCAACUGUAAAGCCAUAACAAGUCCACACGACUGACUUGCUCUUGCUGUAUUUAGCCACUAGAUUAUCACCUUCUUUUGCAAACAUGUUUGUUUACAUGUUUGUUUACACUGGUCUGUUGGAACUAGGGAGCGCUCCCACAGGAAGUGGGAGCCUACAGUGGCCUGGAGGUGUGAGACAUGAUAGAGAGGAAAAUUGAUUUGACGAUUUUAAUUUUUUUAAUCAAAUAAUCCUAUUACAAUUGAAAACCUAUUAAUCAUGCAGCCCUAUGACCCAAAUGUAACAACUGACAAGUUGGUCAAAACAUAAAAACAAGUCACAAUGGUAAUGUUCAAGGCAUGCAGUAGACAUAAAUGAACAGGCACUGAGCCACAGAGAUAAAUCUAAAUCUGAAAAAGAUUGUACAAAAAAUGAUUACAGCUUCAUAAAGAUGGCCUUUAACUUCUGAAAUGAAUUAGCAAACCACAACAAAAGAUCACUUCCAAACCCUGCUGUGAAGUUUCAGAUGAUGGUCAGCUCGAGCAGAUAACACCUCAUUAGUUCUCUCUUAGUACACUUGGUUCAUUUCCAUCCUAAGCAUAAUCCUUUCAGUAAACGGCCUUGUGAAGUGGAGUUAUGGGGAUGUUUGAAAAGACUGUGCAGAGACUGGAAUCAGAGUUCAUGAAGCUACAGGGAAACUAAAAUGAGAUAACAGACAUCCCUGUGGAGCCUCCCGCGGCUAACAAGCCUCUGUUCUGACAUACGAUCCACUCAAACAGGCCCUCUGUGCUAAAUUGAACAAAAAGUCUUUGAUCCAGACAAUGAGGCAUCUGUUAACAUCCACUUUAUGCAGUCUUUCAGCAAAGUCUCCAUUUCUGUUCAUUUCAAAGAUAACAGAGAAAUUCAGGACAAAACUCCAGCAAAAGUUCCAGUCUUAGUGGGUGCUGUGGAAGCGAGUAGCGUCCCUCGCUGUGAUAGUCGGAUGAUCACACCUUCACCUGUUUAAUAUCAACAGAAAAUUUCUCAGUCACUCCCCACCUCUGCUCAUUGUUAUGCACAGACUAUCCUGAGUACUGCAGGGGCAAGUUAGAAUUUAGAUGUUGUUUUCAUUGUCUGCUUGAGUCUUCAUUUUAUUCUCUCUGUUUCUUUUUCUGUUGCUGACUUCUGCUUCGUCACUGUCGCUGCCCUGUAACCGAGGAGUUUAAUCUGUUUAAUUUGAUCAAAUUAAGGGCAGAGCGGGGUUAUUAAAUGACCAGAACUAAAGACAUCAUUCUUAAUCAUCACUGUUGACCCUCAAGUGUCACAUCAGUGUCACAUGCAUUUGAUUCAUCUCCUAUUUUGCUGUGUUUGGGACAUUUCUGUUGGCUGUCUAGCCCCCAUGCUGCAGCCAGCCUGUUUCAGUGAAGGUGGUUCAGAGUCCAGAGGCUGAAGAGUGCUAAGAUGUGGACAUGGGAUCAGAUGUUGUUUUAUCUUUACCAGUGCCCCUUUUUGGUGGGGUUGUCUAGAAGGGUUUCCCUUCUCUGUGUGAUAUCUGGACAAACCCAGACCUGCUGGUGCAUUCACCGAUGACCCUGCAGUUGACCAGUUCCAGCCAUUUCCUCCUCCUCCACAAAAGCAGCUUUAUGACUUUAUUUACUUUAAGACUUCAUUCUUCUAAGUAAUGAUUUUAUCACUACUUUAUUCUCAUGGGUAAUAAAAAUUUCAAUGGAAAUAAAUCAAAUUAAAAAUUGAAAAAUAAAUAAAAAUAAUAAAAAUAAGAAUACAAACAGAACCAAAAAGUUCAAUAAAGACUGUUAUAAUAAUUUUUUUUUAAAAAGUUUGUUUCAGUCCACAUUUAUCCAGGUCAUAAUUACAGAGCAGCUGGACUUGCGUGAGCCUAUAAAGAAUUGUGCAUGACUGAAAAUAAAAACAGGGCCCCACUCUCUCUACAUGUUUAACCAAGAGUCUCUUUUCCCCCUUGAAAACUCAAGGGUAAGCAGGCAUGCAUCCACAGUGGAGUUACAGUUAUAACCCAUUAUGCUGCACUCUUGAAUGCUUUGGUAAUGGAAACCCUUGGGCUAAAACUUUAAUAAAGUUAAAGCAAGCCCAUGACCCAAGGUCACUCAUUCAAUUAGCCAAGGCUAAAACCAGCUGGUUAAUAUAGGAAAAGUCAGCCGAAGUUACAACAGCUCAGAGGAACCAUGCUCGGCUACAAAAAACAAUUCCAAAUUACCGAAGCUAAAAGAGUUGACGCUAACUGAGUGAGCACUAACAUUUAAAUAAGUGAGGAAUUGUAAUUCAUGUCUAGUGCUCCGGUCUCCACAAACUGCAGACGCAAAGGCAACAGCCUGUAGCUACCAUGUCAGAACAAAGGAAAGAGCAACACCUCAGAAAAUUAGUGACUUUUCGCCUCUGCAGAAAUCAUCACAGCCACAAGGGUUCAGGUAUAAGGACUUGAGCAUUUCUGAGCUCUUGAUAACUCUUGUUUAUGCAUUCAAAGCCUCGAGGAGUGCAAAAUUAAUUACUUCAGCUUGGUGACCAGAGAAAAGUGCAGCAUGAAAUCUGAAAAGGUUGAGAGUGGGAGCGAGGGAAAGCCAGAUCAUCUCUUCAUUCAUGUUGGCCUGACUGCCUGUCCCUCCUCGCCCCUAGGUGACCUCCCCAACCAGCAAAUCCCAUUUCUCAGUCGCCCUGCUUCAUGAAUUCUGGCAUUUCAAUUUCUAGUAAUUAUGUGCAUCCUUAUAUUCUCACAGGGUCUUCUUCAAAAGUGCUGUGUGUGUGUGUGUGUGUGUGUGUGUGUGUGUGUGUGUAUGUGUGUGUGUGACCUGCAGAAAAAUAGUGCUUUAUAAAAUAGUUGAAGAAAAAAAUCGUGAAAAAUACCAGCAGGAACACAGAUCAAAAUAAGCCAAAGGGCUCUAUUUUCGUGCGCGCCGGUGAGGCGGCGGAGGGCGGCGAGCCCCGCGCAGUUGUAUUUUCGUCUGGCGGAGCCCGGCGUAAGGCCAGUUUGGUAUUUUCGUGGACUUAGCCGCACGGAGGCGAGCCGAGAUCCGCCAAGCUGGGCGUGGUGGCGUGGCAGGGGGAGGUGUCGACAGAAUCAGCAGGCGCAGUGACAUUUUCAUGCUCGCCACCGGCGUGUAAAGUGCGCUGAAAGCUCGCCGAUUCAAACCUGGUCAGCUUUCAGCGCAUGGCAGAACGCAGCUGGUCCAGUAGUAUUUUGGUAGACCGGCGGCGUAUUGACAUAAGUCACUGAUGCCUCACCGGCAGGUUUCCACAGUGUCAGGCACAUUUCAGUGCAAUAAAUAAUCAUCAACAACUAAUAAUCUGAGUCAGCACAUACAUUUAGAUCUAUAUAGAUAUAUUCUGAUCUAUAUCUGAUCUGAUGAGCGCGUUUGGCACGCGUUUGGACACACAACCUGACCGAAUCAACACAGCUGAAACCGCAUCAAAUUAAAUUAAAUAUCUAGUAAAUAUUCACACAUGAUGAAGUUAACAAGAUAUGUAAUUUGUCUCCCUCCUUUUCUUUCUUCCUCUUCCUCUUAUUUCUCGCACAGCUCGACCUGGACAUGUCUCCGUGUCCUCUGUCCGUCUUGCUGCUGCUGCGGCUGAACAGAUGAUUUGUUUCAGUGCUCAGAUGCGUUAUCUACUUUAAGCCGACAUACGGAUAUUAUAAUAUUCAGUUUUGUGAGCCAAAUUUAUUUUAUAUGCCAACAUCUAUGAAAGAAAGAGCCAGGCCACGGAGCGCGAUGCGUCAUUUACGCACAUAUGGUUCCGAUUUUAAUGCCAUUUUUGGAGUUUAUGUUGUGAUCUGUGCGCUCAACCCACCUUUGUCACGUGAGGUUUGAAUAUGAGCAACUUUAUGUGAGUGUCUUUAUUUGUGGAAAAGGGUGUUUGUCUUACCAGUGGGUCCAACAUUAAACACACCAAAUCCAUCUGUGCUCAUAUGAGAGAGUGUGGAGGACACUUGUUGAGGAGCUGCCCUCUGUCGCCAUCUUGUGGCAUUACUGUCUUAAGACAUCUCUUGAUCUCUUUGACUACUUCAUGAAAAUAGUAAUACACCUCGCCUGUGGCGGAUUUAAAGGCAAGGAGAGGAGCUUAUGUGAUUGGUGAAAACAGGUCUCGGCUGUGUUAAACCCACUCCACGCCCUCUCUCCUCCCCGUCUACGACUUAUGCUGCUGGGAGGAGCUGAGUUAGGGAUACUUACGCUGGGCUGCGCGGCUCACCAAAAUACCAAAUUGUGCUUGGGAAUGCCUUGUCAGCGCGGCGGAUCUGACUGACGCUGCACUUGCGGCACGUCACCGGCGAGGUACGAAAAUAGAGCCCAAAAAGUUUGGUCCUCUAUCAUACUGCUGCUCUGUAAAUGUUAAAGAUUGGUGGUUCGUUCAAAUAUAACCACAGGUGUGGAUGAGAGCAUACAGGUAUGAU
Molecule: long non-coding RNA, 10891 nt
Filed under: Xyrichtys novacula (pearly razorfish)
Lineage: Eukaryota; Metazoa; Chordata; Actinopteri; Labriformes; Labridae
Source: RNAcentral